UAAAGCAACACAACACAGUGAGGAAGAAAAGCAGCAAGUUAAAUAAGACCUGCAGAGAGAAGCAGGUGACCCAGGAGACUGGAUACAGAGAUUUUUGUGUCUAGAAGACUGCUCCAGAGGAAGAGCAGACAACAAGCCGCGGGUACCCAGGGGCUCAGUGCACGGCUCUGUAAACACAA
Molecule: long non-coding RNA, 179 nt
Organism: Ficedula albicollis (Collared flycatcher)
Lineage: Eukaryota; Metazoa; Chordata; Aves; Passeriformes; Muscicapidae
Exons: 2
Source: RefSeq, a predicted model, not a curated record